RNAcentral lists this ribosomal RNA (607 nucleotides) under uncultured soil bacterium. RNAcentral's name for it is "bacterial SSU rRNA". It matches the Rfam family "Bacterial small subunit ribosomal RNA", at positions 224 to 823 of the family's 1533-position model. The record is from RNAcentral.
GAGGAGUCCGCGUCCGAUUAGCUAGUUGGUAGGGUAAUGGCCUACCAAGGCGACGAUCGGUAGCCGGCCUGAGAGGGUGAUCGGCCACACUGGAACUGAGACACGGUCCAGACUCCUACGGGAGGCAGCAGUGGGGAAUUUUGCGCAAUGGGCUAACGCCUGACGCAGCAACGCCGCGUGGAGGAUGAAGGUCUUUGGAUUGUAAACUCCUGUCAGCAGGGAAAAAGCGACUCGUGCUCAUACCACGGGGAGUUGAUUGUACCUGCAGAGGAAGCCCCGGCUAACUCUGUGCCAGCAGCCGCGGUAAUACAGAGGGGGCAAGCGUUAUUCGGAAUUAUUGGGCGUAAAGGGCGCGUAGGCGGCCUUGCAAGUGGAUGGUGAAAUCCCUCGGCUUAACCGAGGAACUGCCAUCCAGACUGCUUGGCUUGAGACCGGGAGAGGUGAGCGGAAUUCCCAGUGUAGCGGUGAAAUGCGUAGAUAUUGGGAGGAACACCAGUGGCGAAGGCGGCUCACUGGACCGGUACUGACGCUGAUGCGCGAAAGCGUGGGGAGCAAACGGGAUUAGAUACCCCGGUAGUCCACGCCGUAAACGAUGAGUGCUUGGUGU